UACCACGUCCCCUAUGGCAAGAUCCGCAACAUCCUGCUGCACAGACAAAGAACUUCCUUUAUCGGUACGCAAACAAGGUGUGUUCUGAAUUCCAAGCUGGAAUUCAGAAUUUGAUUUUUCCACAGCAACCAUCCUAGACGUGCUAGGCUCCCAGGAUGCCCACCCAGCCUGCAUGCUUAAAAUGCCUUGAAACCUUCCUAAGAGGACACGCAUCUAAGGUCACUCAGCAGGUCUGUGCUCGGGCCCCAGCUAAGGACAAGGAGAGGCAAAGGCGCUACUGGAAACAUAGAUAUUUUGCAGCCACUGGCUACCCGAUCCAAUGAAACUGGAACAAAGUUCUCUUCUAUUAUUCAUGGAAUGGCAGAGGUCUAUGUUGAUAGAGUACUAAACUCUUCGGGGAAGAGAGCGCCUAUCUUAGACAUUCCUUAGUGUGUUUACUCAUUCACCUUCAUUGCACCCCCAUCCUGUGUGUCACAACCAUCGCCUACAGUAGUAAAGCUACCGUUUAUAGAUGGUGCUUCACGAAGACCAGCAUCAACAGAUCUCAGUCCUUAAGCGGCAGGAGUGUGCCAUGUGGUAGAGCACACUUAGGAAGGGGAUGCUCCUAACCCAAAACUGCUAGCAGCCUCCAAACAUAAUUUGAACUCUGCCAACUUUCUGUCUUCCUGUCAUCGUCUGAAGCUAUUUCUGCCAUUAAAAUACAUGCUUUGUUGAUA
This is a long non-coding RNA of Myodes glareolus (Bank vole), 716 nucleotides long. RefSeq lists it as uncharacterized. The record is from RefSeq and is a predicted model, not a curated record. NCBI's taxonomy places the organism in Eukaryota, Metazoa, Chordata, Mammalia, Rodentia, Cricetidae.